AACGAACGCUGGCGGCAGGCUUAACACAUGCAAGUCGAACGGGCAUAGCAAUAUGUCAGUGGCAGACGGGUGAGUAACGCGUGGGAACGUACCCUUUACUACGGAAUAACGCAUGGAAACGUGUGCUAAUACCGUAUGUGCCCUUCGGGGAAAGAUUUGUCGGUAAAGGAUCGGCCCGCGUUGGAUUAGCUAGUUGGUGGGGGUAAAAGGCCCUACCCAAGGCGACGAUCCAUAGCUGGUCUGAGAGGAUGAUCAGCCACAUUGGGACUGAGACACGGCCCAAACUCCUACGGGAGGCAGCAGUGGGAAUAUUGGACAAUGGGCGCAAGCCUGAUCCAGCCAUGCCGCGUGAGUGAUGAAGGCCCUAGGGUUGUAAAGCUCUUUCACCGGUGAAGAUAAUGACGGUAAACCGGAGAAGAAGCCCCGGCUAACUUCGUGCCAGCAGCCGCGGUAAUACGAAGGGGGCUAGCGUUGUUCGGAAUUACUGGGCGUAAAGCGCACGUAGGCGGGUAUUUAAGUCAGGGGUGAAAUCCCGGAGCUCAACUCCGGAACUGCCUUUGAUACUGGGUACCUAGAGUAUGGAAGAGGUAAGUGGAAUUCCGAGUGUAGAGGUGAAAUUCGUAGAUAUUCGGAGGAACACCAGUGGCGAAGGCGGCUUACUGGUCCAUUACUGACGCUGAGGUGCGAAAGCGUGGGGAGCAAAC
Molecule: ribosomal RNA, 704 nt
Filed under: uncultured bacterium
Lineage: Bacteria
Description: bacterial SSU rRNA
Rfam family: Bacterial small subunit ribosomal RNA
Source: RNAcentral